UGGGGUAUGGCGAAGUGGCUGAACGCACCAGACUUUGACUCUGGCAUUUACGUUGGUUCAAAUCCAACUACCCCAG
This 76-nucleotide transfer RNA is filed under the name Lachnospiraceae bacterium. RNAcentral's name for it is "tRNA-Gln". It matches the Rfam family "tRNA". Rfam says of the family: Transfer RNA (tRNA) molecules are approximately 80 nucleotides in length. The record is from RNAcentral. Lineage: Bacteria; Bacillati; Bacillota; Clostridia; Lachnospirales; Lachnospiraceae.